AAAGGAAGGAGCUCUUCACCCAGUGUGGGGUAUGGUAUCCCUAGAGAAGGUGACUCUGCGGCUGAGCUUGAAGGAAGAGAAUUGGUAGGUGACAAAGAAGAGAUCGAAGACGACUGAUUGACAGAGCCUGAGUCAACUGCUAAUGAGCUCUUGCUGAGUAAGGAAUGAGAAGGAUGUUUGGUGUCCCAAAGACCAUAAAACUCAACAAUAAGAAAAUAACCAACCAGAUUAAAAAGUGAGCCAAAAAUUAUAACAGACACUUCACCAAAGAAAAUGUAGAUGGCAAAUAACCAUAUGAAAACAUGCUCCAUAUCAUAGUUCAUCAGAUAAAUGUAAAUGAAAACAGCAAUGAGAUACCACCACACACCUAUCAGAAUGACCAAACUCCAUAACAUCAACACCACCAAAUGCUGGCAA
Molecule: small RNA, 417 nt
Filed under: Pongo abelii (Sumatran orangutan)
Lineage: Eukaryota; Metazoa; Chordata; Mammalia; Primates; Hominidae
Description: processed transcript
Source: RNAcentral